UUUGAUCUAGCUCAGAUUGAACGCUGAAGCAGUUCUUUACACAUGCAAGUCGAACGGCAGCACGGACUUCGGUCUGGUGGCGAGUGGCGAACGGGUGAGUAAUGUAUCGGAACGUGCCUAGUAGCGGGGGAUAACUACGCGAAAGCGUAAUACCACAUACUACGCCCUUCGGGGGAAAGCGGGGACCUUCGGGCCUGCACUAUUAGAGCGGCCGAUAUCGGAUUAGCUAGUUGGUGGGAGUAACGGCUCACCAAGAGGCGACGAUCCGUAGCUGGUUUGAGAGGACGACCAGCCACACUGGGACUGAGACACGGCCCAGACUCUACGGGAGGCAGCAGUGGGGAAUUUUGGACAAUGGAAACCCUGAUCCAGCAUCCCGCGUGUGCGCGAUGAAGGCCUUCAGGUUGUAAAGCACUUUUGGCGGAAAGAAACAGCUGGGAUAUGCCCCAGUGCAACUGACGUACCUGCAGAAUAAAGCACCGGCUAACUACGUGCCAGCAGCCGCGGCCUUCCACAGCAGGUGCAAGCAUUAAUCAGAUUACUGGGCGUAAAGCGUGCGCAGGCGGUUCGGAAAGAAGAUGUGAAAUCUGACUGCUGGGAACUGCAUUUUUAACUACCGAGCUAGAGUGUGUCAGAGGGAGGUGGAAUUCCCACGCCAAUAACAGUGAUAUGAAUAUGCGGAGGAACACCGAUGGCGAAGGCAGCCUCCUGGAAUACUGCUGUGUCAUGCGCAGCGUGGGAGCAAACGGGAUUGAUACCUGACCCGGUCCGCCUAAACAGUAUCCAACUGGCAUUUGGGCCUUCGGGCCUUGGUAGCGCAGCUAACGUCAAGAAGUUGACCGCCUGGAAAUACGGUCGCAGAUUAAAACUCAAAAGGAAUUGACGGGGACCCGCACAAGCGGUGGAUGAUGUGGAUAAUGGGUAACGCGAAAAGCCUUACCUACCCUUGACGUAUCUGGAAUCCCGAAGAGAUUUGGGAGUGCUCGCAAAAGAGAACCCGGAACACAGGUGCUGCAUGGCUGUCGUCACAGCUCGUGUGUGUCGUGAGAUGUUGGGUUAAGUCCCGCAACGAGCACAACCUUAUCAUUGAGUUGCUACGAAGGGCACUCUGUGGGGCCGGUGACAUUGGAGGAAGGUGGGGAUAACGUCAAGUCCUCAUGGCCCGCCAUGGUAGGGCUUCACACGUCAUACAAUGGUCGGGACAGAGGGUCGCCAACCCGCGAGGAGGAGCCAAUCCCAGGAAACCCGAUGUAGUCCGGAUCGCAGUCUGCAACUCGACUGCGUGAAGUCGGAAUCGCUAGUAAUCGCGGAUCAGCAUGUCGCGGUGAAUGGUCCCGGGUCUUGUACACACUGCCCGUCACACCAUGGGAGUGGGUUUGCAGAAGUAGUUAGCCUAACCGAAGGAGGGCGAUUACCACAGUAGGAUUCAUGACUGGGGUGAUCGUAACAAGGUAA
RNAcentral lists this ribosomal RNA (1455 nucleotides) under uncultured Bordetella sp. RNAcentral's name for it is "partial 16S-23S ribosomal RNA intergenic spacer". It matches the Rfam family "Bacterial small subunit ribosomal RNA". The record is from RNAcentral. Lineage: Bacteria; Pseudomonadati; Pseudomonadota; Betaproteobacteria; Burkholderiales; Alcaligenaceae.